RNAcentral lists this ribosomal RNA (331 nucleotides) under Mytilus galloprovincialis (Mediterranean mussel). RNAcentral's name for it is "partial 16S ribosomal RNA". It matches the Rfam family "Bacterial large subunit ribosomal RNA", at positions 1989 to 2566 of the family's 2925-position model. The record is from RNAcentral. Lineage: Eukaryota; Metazoa; Mollusca; Bivalvia; Mytilida; Mytilidae.
GGUAUGAAAGGGUUAACGAAGAAGGUGCUGUGUCUAAAAAUUUAAUUUAAACUAACUUUAAGGUGAAGAGGCCUUUAUGUAAAAGAAGGACGACAAGACCCUAUGAAGCUUUAUCUUAAUUGGAGCUCUCAGGCUCUUAUACGAUUUUGAUGGGAGAUCAGUAGAAAUAAGUCUUCUACUAUCAUAUUAAUCUUACUAGUAUUUCCUAACUUUAUAUGUGUGGCUAGCUACUCUAGGGAUAACAGCGCAAUUUCUCCCGAAAGAUGGUAUUGGAGGGGAAGAUUGCGACCUCGAUGUUGGCUUUAGAUAUCCUAGAGGCGUAGAAGCUUCU